CCUACGGGAGGCAGCAGUGGGGAAUAUUGGACAAUGGGGGAAACUCUGAUGCAGCGACGCCGCGUGAGGGAAGAAGUAUUUCGGUAUUUAAAGCUCUAUCAGCAGGGAAGAAGAAAGACGGUACCUGACUAAGAAGCCCCGGCGAACUACGUGCCAGCAGCCGCGGUAAUACGGAGGGGGCAAGCGUUAACCGGAUUUACUGGGUGUAAAGGGAGCGUAGACGGCUGUGCAAGUCUGAAGUGAAAGCCCAGGGCUCAACCCUGGGACUGCUUGGGAAACUGGGGAGCUAGAGUGCUGGAGAGGUAAGUGGAAUUCCUGGUGUAGCGGUGAAAUGCGUAGAUAUUAGGAGGAACACCAGUGGCGAAGGCGGCUUACUGGACAGUAACUGACGUUGAGGCUCGAAAGCGUGGGGAGCAAACAGGAUUAGAUACCCCUGUAGUC
Molecule: ribosomal RNA, 441 nt
Filed under: uncultured bacterium
Lineage: Bacteria
Description: partial 16S ribosomal RNA
Rfam family: Bacterial small subunit ribosomal RNA
Source: RNAcentral